UUGAAUUGAAGAGUUUGAUCAUGGCUCAGAUUGAACGCUGGCGGCAGGCUUAACACAUGCAAGUCGAACGGUAGCAGGAAGAAGCUUGCUUCUUUGCUGACGAGUGGCGGACGGGUGAGUAAUGCUUGGGAAUCUGGCUUAUGGAGGGGGAUAACUACUGGAAACGGUAGCUAAU
Molecule: ribosomal RNA, 175 nt
Filed under: Mannheimia haemolytica
Lineage: Bacteria; Pseudomonadati; Pseudomonadota; Gammaproteobacteria; Pasteurellales; Pasteurellaceae
Description: partial 16S ribosomal RNA
Rfam family: Bacterial small subunit ribosomal RNA
Source: RNAcentral